UUCAUACAAACAUAUUCUUAAAA
This 23-nucleotide small nuclear RNA is filed under the name Arabidopsis thaliana (thale cress). RNAcentral's name for it is "snRNA_01381". Lineage: Eukaryota; Viridiplantae; Streptophyta; Magnoliopsida; Brassicales; Brassicaceae. The record is from RNAcentral.